GUGGGGAAUAUUGGACAAUGGGGGGAACCCUGAUCCAGCCAUGCCGCGUGUGUGAAGAAGGCCUUUUGGUUGUAAAGCACUUUAAGCGAGGAGGAGGCUACCGAGAUCAAUACUCUUGGAUAGUGGACGUUACUCGCAGAAUAAGCACCGGCUAACUCUGUGCCAGCAGCCGCGGUAAUACAGAGGGUGAAAGCGUUAAUCGGAUUUACCGGGUGUAAAGCGCGCGUAGGUGGCAAAUUAAGUCAAAUGUGAAAUCCCCGGGCUUAACUUGGGAAUUGCAUUUGAAACUGGUUGGCUAGAGUAUGGGAGAGGAUGGUAGAAUUCCAGGUGUAGCGGUGAAAUGCGUAGAGAUCUGGAGGAAUACCGAUGGCGAAGGCAGCCAUCUGGCCUAAUACUGACACUGAGGUGCGAAAGCAUGGGGAGCAAACAGGAUUAGAUACCCGAGUAGUCC
Molecule: ribosomal RNA, 451 nt
Filed under: uncultured bacterium
Lineage: Bacteria
Description: partial 16S ribosomal RNA
Rfam family: Bacterial small subunit ribosomal RNA
Source: RNAcentral